RNAcentral lists this ribosomal RNA (558 nucleotides) under Podospora anserina. It matches the Rfam family "Bacterial large subunit ribosomal RNA", at positions 2476 to 2925 of the family's 2925-position model. Lineage: Eukaryota; Fungi; Ascomycota; Sordariomycetes; Sordariales; Podosporaceae. The record is from RNAcentral.
AACAGGCUAAUUUGCGCAAGAGUGUACAUAAUGAGUGCGCGGUUUGGCACCUCGAUGUCGGCUUAACUUAUCCUCACGGAUGCAGAAACUAUGUAGGGUACGACUGUUCGUCGAUUAAAAAGUUACAUGAGCUGGGUUAAAUACGUCGUGAGACAGUAUGGUUUCUAUCUUCUAGAGGGAAUUAGAAUAUAACAAGGAUUAAUCUUGUACGAAAGGAACAUGGGGUACUGUUGUAUACCCAAAAGGUAUGCCAAUUUUAUUAACCUCUGGUUUACCUGUUGUUUAUGUGCCUUGUAUUAAUUUCUUUUUUUUCGACGUCGUACGAAAGAAAAAAAAGGAAAAUGGGAUGUUAUAGUCACUAACUAAAUAAAUAACAUAAGCAUGGCAGGAAAGCUAAGUUAGUCAAAGAUAAGUGCUGAAAGCAUAUAGGCACGAAGCUUGUCUUGGGAUAUUUCUUAAAUAUACGUAAUAUAAUAUUACGUCAUUAGGCUUAAUUUGCAAGAAUCUAGAGAUUUUAAGGUAUUAAGUACUAAUUUUAUAGUAAACUAUAUAAUUGAU